Molecule: ribosomal RNA, 340 nt
Filed under: Arion hortensis
Lineage: Eukaryota; Metazoa; Mollusca; Gastropoda; Stylommatophora; Arionidae
Description: partial 12S ribosomal RNA
Source: RNAcentral
CCUUAAGGUAAAUAAAGCUUAUGAGGACUAUUAAAUAAAUUAUAAACUCAAAUUAUAUGGCAGUAAUUAAAAUUAACAGGGGAACUUACCACAUAAAUGAUAAUCACCAAGAUACUCAACCCACUUUAAGUAAGUUUGUAUACCGUCGUUACAAGAGAUUCAUAAAGAGUUUCUUAAACAUAUCCAGAUAGAAUAACAGAUCAAGGUGCAACCUAUAAGUGGGCGUUCGCGAGUUACAAUAAAAAUUUAUUUCGAAUAUCGGCUCAAAGAGCCUUUUAAAGAUGGACUUGUAAGUAUAUUAAAUUAUUAUUAAUAGUAGAAUAAUCAACUUUAAUUGUGC